Molecule: small nuclear RNA, 105 nt
Filed under: Octodon degus (degu)
Lineage: Eukaryota; Metazoa; Chordata; Mammalia; Rodentia; Octodontidae
Source: RNAcentral
GUUUCUGACUCGGGCAGCCCAUACACCAACACUGAAAUGAUCCAGAGAAGAUCAGCAUGACCCCUAGGCAAAGGAUGGCACACGGAUUCUUGGAGAGCCAGUUUC